GAUGAACGCUAGCGGGAGGCUUAACACAUGCAAGUCGAGGGGCAGCACGAGGUAGCAAUACUUUGGUGGCGACCGGCGCACGGGUGAGUAACGCGUAUGUAACCUACCUUGUACAGGGGGAUAACCCGGAGAAAUUCGGACUAAUACCCCAUAAUGAUAUUGAGAGGCAUCUUUUGAUAUUUAAAGUUUCGACGGUACAAGAUGGGCAUGCGUAACAUUAGCUAGUUGGUAGGGUAACGGCCUACCAAGGCUACGAUGUUUAGGGGUCCUGAGAGGGUGAUCCCCCACAUUGGUACUGAGACACGGACCAAACUCCUACGGGAGGCAGCAGUGAGGAAUAUUGGUCAAUGGGCGUAAGCCUGAACCAGCCAUCCCGCGUGCAGGAAGACGGCGCUAUGCGUUGUAAACUGCUUUUCCAGGGGAAGAAAACCUUCGACGUGUCGAAGCUUGCCGGUACCUUGGGAAUAAGCAUCGGCUAACUCCGUG
This 486-nucleotide ribosomal RNA is filed under the name uncultured bacterium. RNAcentral describes it as "bacterial SSU rRNA". It matches the Rfam family "Bacterial small subunit ribosomal RNA", at positions 28 to 507 of the family's 1533-position model. The record is from RNAcentral.